Small nuclear RNA from Cercocebus atys (sooty mangabey), 134 nucleotides. Its record names the gene U4. It matches the Rfam family "U4 spliceosomal RNA". From Rfam's summary of the family: U4 small nuclear RNA (U4 snRNA) is a component of the major U2-dependent spliceosome. The structure of U4 snRNA from yeast and human has been reported. U4 snRNA presents a k-turn RNA motif in the 5p-SL related to recognition of Snu13 protein. Lineage: Eukaryota; Metazoa; Chordata; Mammalia; Primates; Cercopithecidae. The record is from Ensembl.
AGCUUUGUGCAGUGGCAGUAUCAUAGCCAAUGAGGGUUUAUCUAAGGCAUAAUUAUUGCUAAUUAAAUAAUUUUGAAUAAAGAAUAAAAGAACAGAUCUAUCUGUCUAUCUAUCUAUGUAUCUAUCUAUCUAUC